Molecule: ribosomal RNA, 497 nt
Filed under: uncultured bacterium
Lineage: Bacteria
Description: partial 16S ribosomal RNA
Rfam family: Bacterial small subunit ribosomal RNA
Source: RNAcentral
GACGAACGCUGGCGGCGUGCCUGAUACAUGCAAGUUGAGCGCUGAAGGUUGGUACUUGUACCAACUGGAUGAGCAGCGCACGGGUGAGUAACGCGUGGGGAAUCUGCCUUUGAGCGGGGGACAACAUUUGGAAACGAAUGCUAAUACCGCAUAAAAACUUUAAACACAAGUUUUAAGUUUGAAAGAUGCAAUUGCAUCACUCAAAGAUGAUCCCGCGUUGUAUUAGCUAGUUGGUGAGGUAAAGGCUCACCAAGGCGAUGAUACAUAGCCGACCUGAGAGGGUGAUCGGCCAAAUUGGGACUGAGACACGGCCCAAACUCCUACGGGAGGCAGCAGUAGGGAAUCUUCGGCAAUGGACGAAAGUCUGACCGAGCAACGCCGCGUGAGUGAAGAAGGUUUUCGGAUCGUAAAACUCUGUUGGUAGAGAAGAACGUUGGUGAGAGUGGAAAGCUCAUCAAGUGACGGUAACUACCCAGAAAGGGACGGCUAACUACGUG